Molecule: ribosomal RNA, 498 nt
Filed under: uncultured bacterium
Lineage: Bacteria
Description: bacterial SSU rRNA
Rfam family: Bacterial small subunit ribosomal RNA
Source: RNAcentral
AACGAACGCUGGCGGCAUGCCUAACACAUGCAAGUCGAACGAGACCUUCGGGUCUAGUGGCGCACGGGUGCGUAACGCGUGGGAAUCUGCCCAAAGGUUCGGAAUAACUCGGGGAGACCCGAGCUAAUACCGGAUGAUGUCUUCGGACCAAAGAUUUAUCGCCUUUGGAUGAGCCCGCGUCGGAUUAGCUUGUUGGUGAGGUAAAAGCUCACCAAGGCGACGAUCCGUAGCUGGUCUGAGAGGAUGAUCAGCCACACUGGGACUGAGACACGGCCCAGACUCCUACGGGAGGCAGCAGUGGGGAAUAUUGGACAAUGGGCGCAAGCCUGAUCCAGCAAUGCCGCGUGAGUGAUGAAGGCCUUAGGGUUGUAAAGCUCUUUUACCCGGGAUGAUAAUGACAGUACCGGGAGAAUAAGCCCGGCUAACUCCGUGCCAGCAGCCGCGGUAAUACGGAGGGGCUAGCGUUGUCGGAAUUACUGGCGUAAAGCGCACGUAGGC